Molecule: unclassified non-coding RNA, 245 nt
Filed under: plant metagenome
Description: partial contains small subunit ribosomal RNA, internal transcribed spacer 1, and 5.8S ribosomal RNA
Source: RNAcentral
CCUCCGUUGGUGAACCAGCGGAGGGAUCAUUACCGAGUUUACAACUCCCAAACCCAAUGUGAACGUUACCAAACUGUUGCCUCGGCGGGGUCACGCCCCGGGUGCGUCGCAGCCCCGGAACCAGGCGCCCGCCGGAGGAACCAACCAAACUCUUUCUGUAGUCCCCUCGCGGACGUUAUUUCUUACAGCUCUGAGCAAAAAUUCAAAAUGAAUCAAAACUUUCAACAACGGAUCUCUUGGUUCUG